This 479-nucleotide ribosomal RNA is filed under the name uncultured bacterium. RNAcentral describes it as "bacterial SSU rRNA". It matches the Rfam family "Bacterial small subunit ribosomal RNA", at positions 772 to 1246 of the family's 1533-position model. The record is from RNAcentral.
ACCCAAUAGAUACCCGGUAGUCCACGCCGUAAACGAUGGAUGCUAGAUGUUGGGGGUAUUGACCCCUCCAGCGUCGCAGCUAAACGCAUUAAGCAUCCCGCCUGGGGAGUACGGCCGCAAGGCUAAAACUCAAAGGAAUUGACGGGGGCCCGGCACAAGCGGUGGAGCAUGUGGUUUAAUUCGACGCAACGCGAAGAACCUUACCUGGGUUAAAUCCGCCGGAACCUGCCAGAGAUGGUGGGGUGCCCUUCGGGGUAGCCGGUGAGAAGGUGCUGCAUGGCUAUCGUCAGCUCGUGUCGUGAGAUGUUGGGUUAAGUCCCGCAACGAGCGCAACCCUUGUCGUUAGUUGCUAACAGGUCAAGCUGAGCACUCUAGCGAGACUGCCGACGUUAAGUCGGAGGAAGGUGGGGAUGACGUCAAGUCCUCAUGGCCCUUACGGCCCAGGGCUACACACGUGCUACAAUGGCCGGUACAAAGGG